RNA transcript from Sapajus apella (tufted capuchin), 1339 nucleotides. It is a transcript of the gene named phosphoglycerate mutase 1-like, with no coding region annotated. The record is from RefSeq and is a predicted model, not a curated record. The transcript has a single exon. Lineage: Eukaryota; Metazoa; Chordata; Mammalia; Primates; Cebidae.
AUGGCCGCCUACAAACUGGUGCUGAUCUGGCACGGCAAGAGCGUGUGGAAACUGGAGAACCGCUUCAGCGGCUGGUGCAAUGUAGACCUGAGCUCUGCAGGCCACAAGGAGGCCAAGUGUGGUGGGCAGGCACUGCAAGAUGCUGGCCAUGGGUUUCACAUGUGUUUCAUCUCAAUGCAGAAGACAACGAUCCGGAACCUCUCUGUACAGUGCUAAGUGCCAUUGAUCAGAUGUGGCUGCCAGUAGUGAGGACUUAGCGCCUCAGUGGGAUCUCACCGGUCUCAGUAAAGCAGAGACUGCUACAAAGCAUGGUGAGACCCAGGUAAAGAUCUGGAGGUGCUCCCAUGAUGUCACACCACCUCCAAUGGAGCCUGACCAUCCUUUCUACAGCAACAUCAGUAAGGAUCGCAGGUAUCCAGACCUCAAAGAUCAGACACCCUCCUUUGAGGGUCUGAAGAACACUAUUGCCAGAGCUCUGCCCUUCUGGAAUGAAGAAAUAGUUCUCCAGAUCAAGGAGGGGAAAUGGGUACUGAUUGCUGCCCAUGGCAACAGUCUUUGGGGCAUUGUCAAGCAUCUGGAGGGUCUCUCUGAAGAGGCUAUCAUGGAGCUGAACCUGCCGACUGGUACUCCCAUUGUUUAUGAAUUGGACAAGAACUUGAAGCCCAUCAAUCCCAUGUAGCUCCUGGGAGAUAAAGAGACCGUGCGUAAAGCCAUGGAAGCUGUGGCUACCCAGGUCAAGGCCAAGAAGUGAAAGCCAGAGGGCAAGCUAUUGUCCCCAGGAGCAUGUUCCCUGCCUGUCUCGCCCCUUUGCCCCUCCCUCCUGCACAUGUCACACUGUCCACAUCUGUAGGCAUCUUGAGUUGUAGCUGCAGAUGGGGACCAGUAGCUCCCAUUUUCAUUUUAGCCAUUUUGUCUCCUGCACCCAUUUCCUUCAUACAUUCUAGUCAGAGUAGCACUUCUAGGGCACAAGUUCUCAGUCCAAGCUGUGGAAAAGUUCCCCUUAUCCAAAAGUGUUUAAAGGUAGUGAGUUGGGUUUUUUUGAGUGCUUUGUUUACUAAGGACUUGUGGGGAAGAAUCAUGCUAAGCCAUGACCAAUGAAGAGAAGCAAGAGAGGCUGUCUGCCCCCAGGAACCAGUCCUGUAUUCUUCUGCAGUCAGGCCAUUGCCUGGGGGCUAUAGUCAUUCCAGUGGAAGACGAAUGUAACCUGCAUGGUGAUGUGACAACUGUUUCCUCCCUGGCCCCAGAGGAACUGGCUCUAGAAGGUUGGGACAGAUCCUAAAUUUAGUUUGUGUGUUACAUUUACUUUUAUAUAUAUAAAAAAGAAAGUAUAGUAUAUAUA